GAGCAUGGAGAGCAAUGGCCCCACAUCCCCGGACACUUAAGAGAGCAACCACCCUCCAACUGCAUGCCAGAGUAACGGAGAGACUUUGACAGCCCAGGUUAUCACAGUGCCUGCUGUUGCCACUCAGCUCUCCUAUAUGU
This is a small nucleolar RNA of Rattus norvegicus (Norway rat), 140 nucleotides long. Ensembl annotates it as small nucleolar RNA SNORA44. The record is from Ensembl. NCBI's taxonomy places the organism in Eukaryota, Metazoa, Chordata, Mammalia, Rodentia, Muridae.